This is a long non-coding RNA of Aedes albopictus (Asian tiger mosquito), 11965 nucleotides long. RefSeq lists it as uncharacterized. The record is from RefSeq and is a predicted model, not a curated record. The transcript is spliced from 2 exons. NCBI's taxonomy places the organism in Eukaryota, Metazoa, Arthropoda, Insecta, Diptera, Culicidae.
CUUACGUAUUUUCGGCAGUUUUGUUCUCUUCGUCAUGGGGGGUUUUUUGAAACCUGUUGAUUUUAAAGUUGGCCUCAAAUCCUUCCCAACCAAGCUGAGUUAUUUGCCCAAAUUUCAGGCAAUUCAGCCCACAAAAACCCCCCAUGACGAAGAGAACAAACCGGCCGAUAAUACCCUUUGUCACCCUAUCUAUUUUGGCCAGGGUGCUUCUAAUUUGGCCACUCCCAUAAGAAAUACACGUGAUUAGCCAAAAUAGAAACCAAAGCUGAGAAUAUGGCCAAAACUGCGGCAAGGCUUCUAUUUUGGCCAGUGCCACAUUUAAUACAAAAAUCAAGUAUUAGCUUGAUUUCUGCAUUUUUCUAAUAAAGUAUAGAUCGAAACCUUUCAUUUAACACAUUGGUAGUUUUCAUUGGGUUAUUGGUUAUUUUUAUAAAAAUGAUUUCCCUUAGACUGGCCAAAACCGGUGCCCGCACCCUAUAUGUGCAUCAUUGGUACAAAUUUGGGCUCGAUUGAUUCUUUUUUUUUUCGCGAAGUUAGAACCGUUCGGGUAAAACACUAUUAUUUAGACAACUAAUUUUUGAACUGUCACAUCUCUGAAACCAGUGAACCGAAUUGAAUGAUUUUUUAACGUUUAUUAACAAUAUAUUGAUACUCAAUACCACAUUAUAAAAUGUAAUAUUUUCUCACGGCGAAUUAAGUUAUACCGGAUUGAAAUUUUUACCCAUUUAGAGGAAAAUAAGUCAAAUUUACAAUACCACACAAAAAUUACUAUAUGUGUUCUUCCUUCAAUCUAAAUAGGCUCUAAUAUAUCUGAUUAGAGAUAACUUGAGAACAGAAGUGGAAAAUCUUUGAAUAUCAACACUAAAAUUUGCUGACAUUGAUGUAAAAAAUUACAUUUUUUCGAGAAAGAUCCAAAAAGUUUCAAUCUAUGAUAACUUUUUUCAACAUUUAAAAAGUACCUAUGUUUUAAUAGUUUGUGAAGCAUUUACAUAUUGUUAGUGUACGUUCAAUAUUUCAUUCAAUUCGGUUCAAUGGUUUCCGAGAUAUGACACCUCAAAAAUGAGUUGUCUGAAUAAUAGUGUUUUACCCGAACGGUUCUAACUUUGCGAAAUAUUAAUCAAUCGAGCCCAAAUUUGUACCAAUGAUGCACACAUAAUAGAUUGACAAACAGUCAAAAUUUGAGAUUUUUUGAUGCGCUCUAUGAAAAGUUAUAGCUAGUUGAACUUUUUUCAUUUCAUUUUCAUUUUGCAGCAUUUGGUGGGGCAAUGAGAGCGCAAGUCAGUCCGAAGCCGAUGAUAAGGAGGGGUAAUGGCUGAAUAGUCUUUGCUGACCACAUAAACGCCAUGGGAUAGGAAAAGGGUAGGGUAAAAGGGUAUAAUACGCCCCACCGGGGCAAAACGCCCCCCUUCAUUUUGUAGCGAUUCAAGCGCUUAUUGCAUGCGGGAUCGAUUGGAAAUCUUAAAUAUUGAUAAUUAAUUGCCAUCAAGCUGAUACGUUAGUUGAUUGGUAUAGAAAAGCAAUAAAAAUAUCAAGAAGUCUGAAAUCGAGGCUUUUGGCGUAAUAUUUUACCUCUUGCAAGCUGGCUUCAUUGUAAACGAAGCCAGCUCUGUUCGCUUAUGUUAUUUUGCAACUUUUAUGCAGUUAAACACUUGUUGAAAGGCCCUCCUAGGAUAAGCAUGAGUUUUAUCACGGGGCUGGACGUUUUUCUUUUGGUGGGGCGUAUUGCCCCGUUUGUUUUGAUAAGGUAAAUUUUGGAACGUUUUCGAAAAACGUUUCAAAGCUUCCAUAGCCGCCCCUCCAGAGGUAAAGUUUUCAUGCAACACUUCACUGACUUUAGAAACAACGAUUUGCAGUGGACAAUAGAUGGAAUAAGGCGCCAAUUUUAGAUAUAUUGCCAUUUCUGCUUAGGGGGGGCAUAUUAUACCUGUUUACCCUACAUAUUUUGGUGUGGGAUUAGGGUGUUGGUACAGACUUGACAAUAUCAAUGCUAUUCAGAUGCAAAAUAAUUUUAAGGCUCAAUAGUAAAUCGCAUACCUUCCAAAACCAAAAAAACAAUAAUCCACAAAAUACCAAGCAAGUCAAAGAAAGAAAAAGCGCCCGAUUGUUUAUUUUGUCAAUUAUAACAAACGGAAACUUCUACCCUCUCCGACUCGUCAGUCACCCCGGAAAAAAUGUCCCUUCAGUUCUGGAAAAUAUAUUAUCCCCAAUUAAACCUUUAAUCGAAUUGUCCGCGUGGUCUUGUAGUACCCCUGCUAGGUAAGAACCAGUCAUUGCCAUACAUAUUAAAUGCUAGACAUGACCCCAUGGAUAGCAUUUGCAUAUGUAAAAGCUUUGCUGAUGUGACUUUCCUAUUAGGCAAUUCUCUCAUCUAAUGUUUGUCUUCAAAACCUUGUCAAGCUUAGAAAAUUGGAAUUAAUAAACAAUACAUUACAAGAUUUGAAUUCCCAUAGAAUGAGAUCAUUCAUUCGCACUACAACACCAUAGGAGAUAAUAUCAUAUUGGCUGAUUAAGUACAAAUGCCAAAAAAAUCUCCCUUUUCCCCCUAUCCGCAACCCGGGGACGCGCCCUGUUGGAUUUCGAAAGCCUCGGAGAAUAUUACAAACUUUCAAUGGCAUUCCCAUACACUAACCCACAUUGCCCAUUCAGGGGUCUGACUGGGCAUAUUACCCUCCUUCAGUUUGUAAUAUUCUCACCAACUUGGAAUUAUAUUUUCCCGGCACAUAAAUGACUUCGACAAAUGUUCGAUAUACUAUGCAGCAUCAUGAUCAGUAUAGCUAUAUCAGAUGAUUUGAAGAUCUGAUUUUUACAGAAUUGUUUGCCAUUGAUUAUACAUUCAGCUAUUCCAAUCAUUACUGCAAAGCACAUCGACCACAUGCCUGAAAUCAAAGCUUCCUGGAAGAUAUAAUCCAAGCCCAGGGCAGCAAAACUAUUUGCCCAUAUCGGCUAAAAAACACUAGCUCUGGUAGCUGUUUCCGAAUAAUUUACAGAAAUGUCAUUUUUUUUAAAAUUAGCUAUGACUUUUUUUGGCUCUUCUUUGUAAUAUUUCUCAAGAAUAGUACUUUGAAGGCGUUAACCCUCUCUUUCCCAUGGUAGCAUAGGUAAUCCACUACUUUGCACUGUUCAUACAAAUACAGGAUAAGUUAGAUCAUUCCCAUUUUUUCGUCAGAUGUUUGUAUAUGUUUAAUGAACUAUUAUGCCAGAUUUGGUCAAAAAUUAUCUGCUCGUUUUUGUUUUUGAGUUAAAUGAACAGUGCAAAGUAGUGGAUCACCUGUGCUACCAUGGGAAAGAGAGGGUUAACAUGGACAGCCUUUUCCCUCUCUGAAUGUUGUCUAGUGUCCUCGGAGAUUUUCGAUUAUUGAAAUACUUUUCUAUUAUCAAAUCAUCUUUGGGGCUUCCAUUCGAUCAAAACACUAGUGCGAUGGAAAUAGUUAAAUCACAGUAUUUUCAAAAACUACUACGACCCAAUACUAAUUACUACACACUUUGCUCAAGUUGACGACAUCGUCUAGUCCAUCGUGAGUAUUGGUCCUAGUAGGGGGAAAGUUGGGAAAGUGUCCAGGGUUUGCUAUUCGCUGUCCUGCAGCUUCAUCUGGUCACUCUACAAAAAAAAGAAAAGCAUCAGAACCCGACUCCGGAUAAUCGAGUCCGACCUGUACAGUGAUUUCUAACCUUAUAUUGUAUCUAGUAUUCAUACUGUUCACGCCAAACGUGAACUAUGUUCCCAACAUAAUAGUUUGACCACUGUCAAUUAUCAGUCGCCUCACUGUGCAGAACGGACGUCCACUGCAUGCUAUUAUCUACUGCCCAGUAGCGAUUUCUGCGAUCAGCCAGCUGAUUGCAGGCAGUCAGCUGAAACAAUAAUCGCUUGCUUUCAACCGAUUCCACACUCUUUUACAGCAAAUGCAAGGGAGAUGGCAUUGUAGAGAACAAACUACAUCUAGCCUGCCGUAUCCAGUACAGAUAUACGGGAUAGAGUAGUGCUCUUCCGUACAUGCCUCCCCCCCUUUCGCAUCUUCUACACCAACUACUAGCUGUGAGCCCAUCAGUUCUAUAGUUGAUAGCCGAAACGAAUAGGUCGUCAAGCGCAUUCGCACAGCGCCCCGCGCGCGCCCGCGCACUUUCUCGGUUCACCUACCGACCGGUAAUAGGUGCAAAUUUAGAAUAGUUGUGUUUUGUGUAUAUAUUGUAAAUAGUGUAUCAAAGAAAUAAAGGACAUGGACAUUAUGAACGUUAUUACGUUGUGCACGACACUAUUAUGUUCCUCGACUCCGUCAUCACCCACAGGCCCGAGUUCGGUCAAAUCUAUUCUCGGCGUCAACACAUACCAAGCAUGAAUGUUUGACAAUGCAUCAUGUAUCUCAUUGCGUUACAAAACACAGUUAAGAAAAAAAUCGAAUUAUUCCAAUGUUUAUGAAAUUAAUUUUUCACGAAUUCCAUGUUAUUUAAUAGCUACAUAACUACAGAUUUCGAAAUACCAUUCGUGACAGUUUCUGUUCAAUUUAAAAUGUUUGUUUGGACAUUUCAUGAGGUCGGUCAAGCCGAUCAAUGUUACCCCGCUGAUCAAUGAUACCCCGUUUUACGGUACUUUUCAAUAUCGUUUAUUGGAUCAAUUAGAGACCCUAUUUUGUUGAUUUACUUUUACGUUGAAAAUACGCUUAACAAUUGAGAAUUUACUUCAAAGUUAUCGGAAAUGUAAACUGUGUCAUUAAAACCCCUCAAAUGCGCAGGUAUGUAAGAGGACAUACACUUUACCGUCACAUACAAUGGGCUUUUUCAUUUGACGGCUUAAAUCAGCUGAUUUUUCGGGCCUUUGACAGUUCUCCUAUGAAAAUGACAGUUUUGGGUUUGCGCCUUUGUUCGGCGGUUGUAAACAGUGGCAUACAUGGACCUGUCAGCUGAAAAGGCCUAUAUGCACAUCAAAAUCGUUUUUUUUUUUUUUUUUCAUAGUGAUUACGGCGGUAGCACACUGUGCUUAUGUUCUAACACCGCACCCUUUCCCUACGUUUGCUUCAAUGAGCCUCUAUUUUUGUUUCAACACACAGAAGUACGUAGGCAUAUCGUGGCCCAAGUCGACACUGUUUUGGCCUGCGUUGAACAAAAAUAGUUUUAAUAAAAGCUUCCCCUUUUUUCUUUUUGUCAAUUGGUUUUUUGUAGUAUGGUCCAUGUAUUUAGUUAGGUUCUUGUCAAUUUGUCAGUUAUUCGAAGUAGAUCUCCAAGGUAAUAGUCAAUUCAGUCAUUCUGAUAUGUUCUAUCAUAGCAGCUUUAGUUUUUGCUUUAUUGAAGUGUAGUUUUAUUGGAAAUAUGCUGAAUGUCGUUAUUAAAAAGAGACGUCUGGAACUGUGUCCUGCUAGUUGUUCCGUCAUGCACAUACGUCAUGUCUUAAUAAUGCCUAAGAGAUUAACAGAAGUACGUGUGUUCGGUCAGAUGUUCAUUGCGUAGAAAGUCAAGGAAAAUAGGUUUCUUUAUUGUCAGUUGUUAUGUAAGCCUCGCUUGAAGCACUUCCUGUGAGAACCCUGUCAUCUGUACACCAACUAAUCCGUAUCUUCGUACACAGCUAAAUACUGUACUGUCAACCGGCGAAAAGCUUACGGGUAAAUAUUAAAAAAUGAUUAAUAAUGCUGUCUAGCGCAUUGUUUCCUAUCGGCCACUAUUUUAGUCUAGUCCCAACUGCAAGCGAUAGAUUCAUCGAAUCAGUCGAACCCGUAUGUUAAAAUAUUAAUAUAGUCGAUUCUGUGUCAAAUUGUUUUCUUGAUUUCGCUAAUCGUUUUCUACUUCUCUGUGUUCAUCUCUUGUGUCCUUAAAUUUUCAUCGGUCCAAAACCCACAGAAACAUGUAACUGAACUUCUGAUAUUUUUCUGUUAGUGUCAUAACACCAUCUAAGAGAUAAACAAAAAUACGCCAAGUAAUAAAACAAAAAUUGCUGGUCACCUAUUAUGUAUUCAUCCCCCUACAAAUACUAUGAAAAAUAUUCAAAUUCGUUCAAUUGUCCUAUCGGUCCUACCUCGAUAAACCAUGUCAUUUUCUCAUGCGUGGCCUAGAAAAGUCAACCUAGUCAUAUUUACAAAAGUAACGUUGUUCAGUUAAUGAAAAGCAGUCAGUUUUUGUCCAAAAUGUCACGUCGAACGCAUUGAUGUCAACAAUGCGUUUAAAUGUUCGCACGUUAGCUUCGAAUCUAUCAGCACAAUUAAGUGCUGCAAAUCUCCUUCCCACUAUUAAUUCGUCGAUUGAUUUUAAUUGCAUUAUUUAAAGAUAAUAUGACCAACUAACAUUGUAAAAAAUCGAAAAAGCGACUAUGACAUUAAUAAAUUACUAAUCAAAAUCAACCGAGAGACGUGGGAAAUAGAGCCCAAACAACAUUUUGAAGUCAGCUGGCUGUUAAAGGUUCCAAAACCUGUCACAAAUCCUAUAAUACUUUUAUUAGGAUUUGUAACGAUCAUCAAAACCUUCUCAAACCCAACCGACUUGGAACUAUUGCUUGGGAAUAGACUCUACUGAGCCCUGGCGGAUCCUCCAUGUUUAUCGAGCAUGUCUGAUGCAUAUGAUCAGCCAUACUCCAUCUGCAGCAGCCGGUUCUUGAUGAACCGUUGGAGGCGCAUUAAAGUGUUAAAAAGGUGAUAUGUUUCACUAAAGAACACUACAUUACAAUAAUCAAAAUGAAACUCCUUCACUUUAAUACCGUCAACCCCUGCGAACUUGGCCAGGGCUAUAUGCACAUCAAAAUCGUUGAAUUAAUAAUGUAGUAUCCUAGUCUUGAUCGCAGUAGCCUUGAGAUAUGCAAUUGACAUAUGCUUCAUUGUAAUAAAUUAUUAUUGUUCCAACCACCGACACGAAGAGUCUACAUUUGGCGACGAGGAUGGGAUUUGCAUCGACAGCAAGCAGGAAGAAAAGACGAAAGGAUUACCCGGGUCUGAAAAACAUACUCAAGAUUGUCUUUUCAAAGCGAAAUUGCUUGGUUUGCACAGUAGCGAAGUCAAAACCAAAGCAAAUGAACUUAUCGUAGAUGUUACAAUCAUCAGAGAGAAAACCCACUAUAUAGACUCUAUGAUUCAACACAAGAAGAAUAGCAUGUCCCCAGAAUACAAUCAAUAUUUAUAGCAGAUUGGACUUCAUCAAAGGACUGCGAGAAAAACAGUAACGAUGUUUUCCUUUGGCAGAAAAUGGAGUAUAAGGUGAGUUAUUUACAUAUAUUUGUUUCUUCAGUUUGGAAAUCAUGGAUAGUGUGAGACAAAUUAAGUCAAUCGACGUCAACUGGAAAUGAUUGGAAAAAAAUAUUUCAUAUGCUGGAAUUCAGUAAAUUUAUUGAUUUUAACUUCAAAAGAAACCUUAACAAUUUAAUUUGACUUAAAAAAAAGUGAAAUGGUUUCAUAUGACAUUAUAAUUGAGAUUAUUAUAGUGAAACUAGGAAAGAACACGCCACUACAUAUAUGUUUGAUAGUAAAAUUAAAUAAGAACAAUCCGCUGUUUUUCAACUCAUCAACACAAAUUAUUUAGAGGUGUGAGAAUGAAAAGCUACAAAUUGAAAAAUGAAAUUAUUCUACCGUGGGGUGCCCUAAUUUCGUGCGGGCCCAAAUUAGGAAGUUGCAAGUGGUCCAAAACAAAUUCUUGAAAAUGAUCUUCAAACUUCCGACACGCACUAGGACAACUGAGGUCCAUCGACUAGCCUGUCUGGACCUGAUCAGUAACAGAUUACAAAACCUUUCCAUAAAGCACGAGGCCAGAGCUGUUAUAUCUGAAUGGCAAACAAUUAGAAAUAUAUAUCUGUAAGAUUAAAUUUUGUAAAUAGUGUAAAUAGUAGGUUAGAAUAGUAUAGAUUAGGAGCUGAAAUGUCAACAAACAAACAAAGUUUAAACUCAACAAAUAUUUUUAUAACAAAAGCAAACACACAAAUAAGUUAAAGAUAACUGAGAAGGCAACUAAAGUCUGAAUAGCAUUUAGCGGUAUCACUUAAAAUGUAAUGAAAAUGAUUGUUACAACAAGAAAGAGAAUAAAUCAAUACACUUUAAAGUUAAAAAAAAAAGUGCGGGCCCAAACUUCGUUAACUUCUGACAUCUGAGAGCAUUAUCAUCUAAAUAACCGCGGAAAAUUUGCUAUAACCUCAAAACUGCAUUUGAUCUUAAUACAAUUCACAAAAAAAAAAUGGAAAAUUUGAUUUAUGUCAAAGAUUGAAAAAUAAAUUGCAAAUGUAUGCAAAUAGCAGAUGCCAUAUUCAGAGAUACGAGGAAAUCAACACUCACGGAAGUGAACAAAUAUUUCGAUCUCUAUCAAAGGUAAAUAUUUCAAUUUAUGCUUGAUUAUUUCAAUUCAAUAUGUUUAAAAUUACUUAAAAAUGUUAUUUUCUUAUUUUGUUUCAACAUUUUUGUUGUUGGCGAAAUUAGGAACCCACAAUUUGCAUGGGUCCCUAAUUUCGUGCACUCUUUUUCAUAACUUUGCUUUAGAGGUUCAUGUGUACACUAAUGGCUGAGGCUUUCACAUUGAAAAAUUUAUUUAGUUUUUCUUCUAAAAAAACUGAAUUUUGUUACUAAAAAUUGAAUAUCUCGAAAAGUUAUUUUUUUACCUUCGUGAUAUUUUGUGAGAAUAAAGUUCAUUCUGUUAGCUACCAUCUGUAAAAAUUUCAUAAUGGUAAAAAAAUGUACAAAAAAGUUAUGGCACUUUGAACAUUUUCGGUUGUGUGUUUUUUAGAGUGUAUGACGAAUUCACGCAAACUCGCCGUAGGGGUUUGGCAAAACUGUCUUAGAAUCGGAUGGAAUUUCUUAGCUUUAAAGACGUAGGGUAACGGUUGAAUUUUGGACCCCUAGAGGACAUUAGUUUGAAUUUAAGUCAAAAUCAAACAGAUUCAGAGGGUAUUUACACAUGAUGAUGAUGUUAGUAUGUUCGGAAAAGCCUCCACUGUCCGCUAAAAAUACCCACAAGGUCAUUUCUGGCUGCAAAUUUGAUGAGAAUAACUGAUUUUUGAAGCAUCAGUUGUCACUGUUAUGGACACUCCAAUAUAAUUUGGACCCUCUUCAGUAUAUAUUUUGGACACCCGGUGUUUAAACUCGUUUGAAACUAUUUUGGAAGAAUUUUCCGCUUGAACAUGCUGGAUCACUUCCUAAUUACUUGAUUGACAAAGGCUGAUUAGACGAACUUUGCGAAUUUAAUGCGCUAGAAUGAUAAACGUUUUUGUUUACAUCUGCAAGUUUCCUCAGCACCGCAAUCUUUAUUUGUAAACAUGAUGCGACACUCGCACGGAUGACGAGAUUUGCAAAAAAUAAUUUCAAGGCAAAUAAGGAUAUUUCCAGUGAGGAAAUGUUUGCUGCCCGUGCAGAGCAAUGUUAUUUAGCGAAUGAUUCUAAAAAUUUCCGUCAUUUCAUCAUUAAACCUGUGUAAGUUGUGAUAAUACGACCCAGGGGGUCCAAAAUAUAUGGGGGUCCAAAUUAUAUUGGUUACCCUAUUUUAAAGUAAGAUUGCAUACGUUGUUUUUUUUAUUUACCUAGACUAAUAUUUGAAAAGGUCUAAAGUAUUUGACCGUUUUUUACUCAAUAUAACUUAAAAAUGACAUUACCUACAAAAAAGUUAUGUAUGGGUGACUUUUAGAUAAUCAUGUGAACUUUCAUAACAUUGAAAAAUGUCAAUACGCUUUAAAAGUAAAAAAAAAUGCAAAUAAGAAAAAUUAUUUCAAUUUGCAAAACAUGACAUUUUUGUAAUUAUUGAAAAUUUUGCCAUAUAUCGCAAGAUGCGCACUUUUGAAGAAAAGCAUUUCUGAGGUACCGUGAUUUCGGGUGAAACUGAUCAGUGGGAUGAAAUUGAUCGACGUGAGGGUCAUGUUCAUUUGUUAAAAAUAUUGCUUUAAACUUAAAACAAUUUGUAGAAAAUGACCAUCAUCCGGCUAAAGGAUUAUUGAAUGAUGAGUUACAUGUUUUACAGUCAAUUAGUCACAUAUUUCUGUAUUAAAUUCAAUAUUUUCCGUAAUUGUGUGUUUGGCGAACCUCAAAUACCCUUUCAAACUUUUGUUACCGUGGCUGUAUCGCACAUGUAAUGAAUAUUCGAAUGGAUGCUUUUAGCUGCCAAGUAUUUGCUAAACACGAUUUCAUAAUCAAAAAUUUUAUAAAUAUUCAAAUUUAUACAUAAUUGCACUUUUCGGAAGUAAUCACUUUAUCAGUAUAAAAAGUGCAUACUUUAAGGCGUUUUCAUGAAAUUUAUUAAAUUUAAAACUUGAAUAAUUAAAAAUUGAGAAAACUCGUUAAACUUUUGCGCAGCAUUUCGCAUUCUGGGGUUGUUUAUUCAGGUGAAAAACAUAUUUUUGGCACAUGCAAAGGUAUUUCAUUUACUGAUCAAUUUCAUCCCGAAAGCAAAAUUAUUGAUUUUUUAUUUUAAAUGAUAUUUACCAAUUGCAAUAAAAUGAUUUGUAGUAAAAGUUUCAAUCUCGUUGACUGAUGAGAAUCGUGGUCGUACUUGUUUAUUGCUUUGAGUUCGACUUUCUUUGGGUGAUCGACUGUACUUUGGAUGACAUCUUUAAUUGGCAAUUCAGUCUAAUUUGGUCAAUCAAAAAGACUAUAUGUUUUCUUAACCCGACGUUUCGGUCCUUAUUGGACCUUUUUCAAGGAUUCUGUAAUGUUUGAGUUUGACCAUAUCGCUGCAUUCGAAAUCACGGUAGCAUUAGUAGAACAUUUUUGACAGCUCCUCCCCUCGUAAAGUAUAUUCUCCUAUACCUAAUAGAAGGCUCCUAGCAAUAUCAUGAACUUCCUCUAAAAUGCUACGUCUUUAAUGGACGGUUCCUAACAACAAAUACUUCAUGUCAUCAUUUUGCGUGUUUCUCUUCGGUAGAAAACAAAAGAUUUUAUCCAGGGCGUUUUUUACAGAUAUUAAAUUAAACAUAGCUCCAUAUGUUUAAAUCACAAGUCUAUCUAAUGCAAAGUAUUUAUUUUAUUCUCUUAUGAAUAAGAAAACUUUUAAGUUUUAAUUCGACUUCUGGUUGAUGUUCUGAAUUUCUGUGUAACAAAUCUGGUGUUCUGGUUCAAAAGAGAAUCCUAAAUUAUAUUCUUUGUAUUGGAUAGAUUUAUAAUUGAAACAUGUAAAGCUAUGUUCAAUAUCAAUAUGUGAAAAUCCACGUAUAAAAAUACCCAAAAAUUGGUUUGACUCAAAAAAAAAAAAACAUUUUGUGUUGGGUUAGAUUUAGAUAAUAGCAAUUUAAUUACUUUGAUCCAUUUUGAAUUCUAUUCUUAUUGGUUGGUGUGGGGUUUGGUUCUCCGAAAUAGGAUUAAUUUAAUUUCGCAAAUGGGCAUGUAUUCCAAAUUGACUUCAAUAUAUUUUUUUACUUUUUUUAGCGUGAUCGUUUUUUUCAAUAUUUCAAUUUUUUACUUGAAAGUUUACACAAAUUCCUUAAAGUCACACAUACCACACUUUUUUGCAGGUCAUGUUAUUUUAAAGUUAUAUUGGUAUAAAUAAAAUAGUCAAAAACUUAAGCCCUUUUCAAAUAUUAGUGGAGAUAAAUAAAAAAAAAAACAACAAAGUAUGCAACGUUGCUUUAAAGUACAUAGUCUUCAUACCUACACAAUUCCAUUGAAAUCUGAGAGGGUGCUGCCAACCCCAAAAUCUAGUUUGCGGGAAAUUCGUCAUGCACUCUAAAAAAACACGCAACCAAAAAUGUUCAAAGUGCCGUAACUUUUUUGUACAUUUUUUUACCACUAUAAAAAUUUUACAGAUGAUAACUAACAGAAUGAACUUUAUUCUCACAAAAAAACACGAAGGUAAAAAAAUAACUUUUUGAGAUAUUUAAUUUUUAGUAACAAAAUUCAGUUUUUUCAGAAGAAAAACUAAAUAAAUUUUUCAAUGUGUAUUUUUCUGAGAGCCGCCAUAUAUUAUUCUACAACUUUGCUGAAGACACCUUUCCGAUCGAACAAGCCGUUUCCGUGUUAUAAUUUUUUAUUUGCUUGUGUUCCAUUUUUUCAUAGGCCCUAUUUGAAAGUUAGUCGAGACAAAAUAUGAA